AGUAACACGUGGGCAAUCUGCCCUGCACUCUGGGACAAGCCCUGGAAACGGGGUCUAAUACCGGAUAUGACCAUCUUGGGCAUCCUUGAUGGUGGAAAGCUCCGGCGGUGCAGGAUGAGCCCGCGGCCUAUCAGCUAGUUGGUGGGGUAGUGGCCUACCAAGGCGACGACGGGUAGCCGGCCUGAGAGGGCGACCGGCCACACUGGGACUGAGACACGGCCCAGACUCCUACGGGAGGCAGCAGUGGGGAAUAUUGCACAAUGGGCGAAAGCCUGAUGCAGCGACGCCGCGUGAGGGAUGACGGCCUUCGGGUUGUAAACCUCUUUCAGCAGGGAAGAAGCGCAAGUGACGGUACCUGCAGAAGAAGCACCGGCUAACUACGUGCCAGCAGCCGCGGUAAUACGUAGGGUGCAAGCGUUGUCCGGAAUUAUUGGGCGUAAAGAGCUCGUAGGCGGCUUGUCACGUCGGUUGUGAAAGCCCGGGGCUUAACCCCGGGUCUGCAGUCGAUACGGGCAGGCUAGAGUUCGGUAGGGGAGAUCGGAAUUCCUGGUGUAGCGGUGAAAUGCGCAGAUAUCAGGAGGAACACCGGUGGCGAAGGCGGAUCUCUGGGCCGAUACUGACGCUGAGGAGCGAAAGCGUGGGGAGCGAACAGGAUUAGAUACCCUGGUAGUCCACGCCGUAAACGGUGGGAACUAGGUGUGGGCGACAUUCCACGUUGUCCGUGCCGCAGCUAACGCAUUAAGUUCCCCG
RNAcentral lists this ribosomal RNA (750 nucleotides) under Streptomyces misionensis. RNAcentral's name for it is "bacterial SSU rRNA". It matches the Rfam family "Bacterial small subunit ribosomal RNA", at positions 109 to 871 of the family's 1533-position model. Lineage: Bacteria; Bacillati; Actinomycetota; Actinomycetes; Kitasatosporales; Streptomycetaceae. The record is from RNAcentral.